Molecule: ribosomal RNA, 124 nt
Filed under: Capillolejeunea mascarena
Lineage: Eukaryota; Viridiplantae; Streptophyta; Jungermanniopsida; Porellales; Lejeuneaceae
Description: partial 18S ribosomal RNA
Rfam family: Eukaryotic small subunit ribosomal RNA
Source: RNAcentral
GGAUCGCGGCGACGCCGGCGGUCCGCCGCCGUUGUUGUUGUGAGAAGUUCAUUAAACCUUAUCAUUUAGAGGAAGGAGAAGUCGUAACAAGGUUUCCGUAGGUGAACCUGCGGAAGGAUCAUUG